GGCAUGUGCACACCCGUCACCUUUAUCUUUCCACCUGUGCACACACUGUAGUCCUGGAUACCUCUCGUCGGAAGGCGGACUUGGGGUUUGCCGUUUGCCCUCAGGCUCGGCUCACUCUGAAUUUCCAGGUCUAUGAUCUCACACACCCCCAAGGAAUGUAACAGAAUGUCAUCACAGGGCCCUUGUGCCUAUAUAAAUUUAUACAACUUUCAGCAACGGAUCUCUUGGCUCUCGCAUCGAUGAAGAACGCAGCGAAAUGCGAUAAGUAAUGUGAAUUGCAGAAUUCAGUGAAUCAUCGAAUCUUUGAACGCACCUUGCGCUCCUUGGUAUUCCGAGGAGCAUGCCUGUUUGAGUGUCAUUAAAUUCUCAACCUCACCAAUUUUGUCAUGAAGUUGUGUGUAGGCUUGGAGGUGGAGGGUUUUUGCAGGUCCACGACAGUGGUCUGCUCCUCUGAAAUGUAUUAGUGGGUUAGGCCCCUAAUCUAUUGGUGUGAUAACUAUCUACUCCAUGGAUUGGGUUGGUUUAUCAUAAGACCUGCUUCGAACCGUCCUUCUCUGGACAACUUUUGACAUUUUUGACCUCAAAUCAGGUAAGACUACCCGCUGAACUUAAGCAUAUCAAUAAGCGGAGGA
This 632-nucleotide ribosomal RNA is filed under the name uncultured fungus. Its description in RNAcentral is "eukaryotic LSU rRNA". The stretch from base 205 to 358 matches the Rfam family "5.8S ribosomal RNA". The record is from RNAcentral. Lineage: Eukaryota; Fungi.